This 1471-nucleotide long non-coding RNA is filed under the name Sorghum bicolor (sorghum). Its description in RNAcentral is "long non-coding RNA (SBIC_LNC018602)". Lineage: Eukaryota; Viridiplantae; Streptophyta; Magnoliopsida; Poales; Poaceae. The record is from RNAcentral.
AAUAAUCAAGUGAGUUCCUUGAUAAGCUCGUGUCCAUCUUGUUUAGACAAUAGAAACGCGUGCACUCUUGUUUUGAUUAGGAACCAAGGAGAAGACCGAAAGGGAGAAGGACUCACGCUCGCUGGAUUCGGACAGCAGCAAAGCGCCAACUUGUGACCGUUACCAUGGUUGCAUACGGAUUCGGAUUCAGGCGCUUCAGAACUUGUUGAAAAGCUUAUCAAGUCUACUUUCAUAUGAAUCAAGUCCCACGUCAAUACCUGUUCGGCAGUAGCGGCAAUGAUCCAAUUACCGUCGAUAGGUCUUGCUGUCCAGGGUGCUGCGUCACCUCAUUUUGGGCUGAUGGCCCAUGUAUCAAGUUGGGUCCAUUAGGAACGCGUCCUAGGGUUGGAGGACGACCCCAACACCUCUUUGGUCAUCAAUCCAUCUACUUAUAUCCCUCUAGAGCGGCCAUGGUCGUUGGGUUUUAUUUAGAUCAAGUUUAGCCUUCGCUACUUGCUUGUAGGCGCGCGUGCAGGAUCAGUCGCCCGUCUCCUUGUCUUCAGAACCCCAUUGUUGAUUCAGAUUCAGUUUGAAACCUUCAAUUCAUCUUGCAAAUUCAGUGCUUGUUUCCUCGUUCUUGCUAGUUCUUCGAUUGCUUGCAGGACGGGAGCCCUAGGGGAUGGUUGUCGCGCUCCACAAGAUCGUGACGGCUGUUGGACGUGGUGUAUCGGUUGCUAAGGCGCGGUCUUGAGGGCUGUAGUCGGGCCGUGAACGUUUGUGCCUUGGCUAGUACCGUUUUGGUUAGGGCUUGUUGAAUUUGCGUUGCUUCGGUUUGUGUCGAGUUGCUAGUCUUAGUGUCUAGUCCUUUAGAGUUUCGAGUUCUUGUCACCAUCUAUACACAGCCGAGUAUUACCAUAUCUUCUCUCUGUCGAAUCUGUUGCGAAGUCCGAAUUGAACUGUGGUCUUGGUCCGGAUCGAGUAGAGUUCCAAUCUGAGUUCCACCAACGUGAUAAAAAAAAAGAAGGAUAACUCCAUACUUGUUCGGCCCUACUCUAGAGAGAGAGAGAGAGAAUUGCUCUUUUGUAUUCUUUUGUUCAUAUAAUCAGUUUUUGAGGUUGCCCAAAAAAAAGAAAAAAAAAGAAAAAAAAGAGAAAAGAUUCAAAAAAAGGGGCUGUUUUUUAUAUUGAUUUUAGGUUUCUUCCACCUUGUUUUCGGGGGUGGGCUGUGGUUUUCCUUUGUGUCCAGGCUCGCGUCUCUAGCACGGUCUAGCCUAGGACCAGCACAGUACCAUCGUCGAACGCUUAUUCAGCUCGCUUUUUAUAACUAACGUGGUGCUAGUUCGUUCCUUGUUUCAGCCCACCUAUAGCUCCACAUACUCUACAGCUUGACAGGUCUUGUGCUGCAGCACCGAUACACUUCGUCCAUUGCUGUACACUUGUUGACAGACGACCCCUCCUGUCAAGCAAGGUAAGAAUUGGUAAGAACUUGUGUU